RNAcentral lists this ribosomal RNA (249 nucleotides) under uncultured bacterium. RNAcentral's name for it is "partial 16S ribosomal RNA". It matches the Rfam family "Bacterial small subunit ribosomal RNA", at positions 15 to 207 of the family's 1533-position model. The record is from RNAcentral.
GAUCCUGGCUCAGGAUAAACGCUGGCGGCGCACAUAAGACAUGCAAGUCGAACGGAAGUCGUUGUAAUGAAAUAGAAACGGACAGAGAACUUGUUCGAAGAAAGUGGAAGUAGACUUACAACAAUGGCUUUAGUGGCGGACUGGUGAGUAACGCGUAAGGAACCUGCCUUCUAGAGGGGAAUAACAAUGAGAAAUCAUUGCUAAUACCGCAUAUGCCGAGAGAAUUACACAUGGUACAAUCGGGAAAAG